AUCCAGCUGAUGAGUCCCAAAUAGGAAGAAACGCGCUUCCUGGAU
Molecule: non-coding RNA, 45 nt
Filed under: Schistosoma mansoni
Lineage: Eukaryota; Metazoa; Platyhelminthes; Trematoda; Strigeidida; Schistosomatidae
Source: RNAcentral